Molecule: non-coding RNA, 5930 nt
Organism: Homo sapiens (human)
Lineage: Eukaryota; Metazoa; Chordata; Mammalia; Primates; Hominidae
Source: RefSeq, a predicted model, not a curated record
ACCUGAGCGGCCCGGGUGCCGCAGCAGGGCGCUGACGAGUCCCGCCGAGCCCCGCCGCCCGGGUUCAAGGCCGCCUUCACGCCCACGAUUCCUUGUUUUUUGGGCAGAGGUCAAGGCUCAACGGAGAGGGAGCCCGGGACCGAGUUGUGGUGGGAGUUUGCUCCUAACACCCGCGAAAUCCUACCUCAAUUCCUCAGAUGGCCUGAGGGAGAAACCGGAGGGCCCGGGAAUGGCGGGGAGCUCCAGUUCAGAGCCGGAACUCCGGACUUCUGCAAGGCCAGACGUGAGGCGACACUGAAUUGCUCCCGAGACGCGGGAAGGGCGAAGGCAAUCGAAGCGAAGAGCUUUAACUCAUCUUCUCCAGGAUUUGGGGCACGGGAACCUGUCUCCUGACCUUCGUGCCUUACCUCGGAGUGUGCUGCCCAGACGGACUUGUGAAUAGCUGCGUCUGUCCCCAUAGUUAACGGGAGAAGGAAACACCAGGAGAAAAGAAGGAAAAGACAGGAAACGGGAAGAGGAGCAGAGGCGAGGAAGGGGAAGGUCAUUUCCUUGGCAGGAGUGAAGACUAUUGGAGGCUUUGGAAAAGUUAAGCAAUUGCUCAAGGUCACAAACUGGGAAGCUGGGACUCAAAGCCUUUGCUCUGACUUAAAGGCAAACAGAAAAUAUUCAAGUUAGAAUUUAAUGAAUUUCCUCUCUCAGAAACAUCCCCUGAUUCCUCUGUAAAGCCACUUCACUUGUAAAUUCAAUUGUGGUCAAUUCCAUAUGUUGUCUUUUUCCCCUGAAGUUUUGCUUCCAAGCCUCUCACCAACAUCUUUACCAAUGAAUAUCCUGCACUUUUCUUUAAAACCUCUUUCAAAACCUUUUCUGUCUUUUUCGUAUUUCAACUUAUUUUAUUUCAAAACAAAUUUAUUAAAUCUUUACUUUUUUUAUUCUAGUGAUAUACAUUAAUUUCAAUAUUGCAUUCCAGGUGAUAUUUAUGUAAAUAUGUGAAAACUUAAUACUGUGGGCUGAUUUGGCACUGUUUGUCACUCUUAUUGUGUGCUUGACUCUCUCCCUCCCCUUCAUCGGUUCUCUCUCUUUAAACUUUUUAUUAUGGGAAAUAGACACAAAUCAAGAGAAUGGUGUGGUGAGCCCUUAUAUACCCAGUACCCACCUUCAACAGUUAUCAGCUCAUGGCCAGUCUUGUUUCCCUUGCAGUCCUACCACUUAUCCUCAUCCUGUGUUAUUUUAAAGCAAAUCUGAGGCAUCAUAUUAUCCCUAAAUAUAUUUAUACAAACCACAAUAUCAUUACUACACUAAAAAUUCACAAUAAUUCCUCAAUAUCAUCAAAUAUCUAGUUAGUGUUCAAAUAGCCAAUCAUGUUUAAAAGGUGUAGCUUUAAAAAAUUACAGUUUGUUUAAUUCAGAGUCCAGGUAAGGUCCCACACAUUUCAAUUGAUUGAUGUGCCUCUUAUUUCUUUAAGUCUACCCCGUGUCAGUCCAUUAUUGCCUGUGGGCAGGAGGACUUAGCUCCCUGGGUGCACUCAGAGCUUUUGGUAGCCAACACUCAGGGAAGUUGGGGGGGAUCUGGGGAGGGUAUCCACUGCAUCCACUGCUCAGGGGAAUUAGGGGGAGAAUUUCCAGGCACAAGGAACAGCAUGAGCAAAAAAACACAUGAAUGGCACAGCGUAGCAUGACAAACCCUUUCUUUAGAAAGUCUCCUAGCUUAGCACAUUUAAUUUCCAUCUCUUCUUAUUACUUUAGCAAUUAUCUGUGUCAGAGGUGGCCAAGUGUUCACCAGCAUCCAUGUUCCCCUUCUUCCUUUUUAGCCUUUUUAGCAAUAGGCACGUAGCAACACAGCUAUAGAUAACAUUGCCCACCCUUUCUGGCUGACAGAUGUGGCCAUAUGUCUAAGUUUGGGUCAAUAGGAUGUGAGAAUACAAUAUAUAUGCAACUACUGGGUAGAAAAAAAAAUCUACAUAAAUUUUCUUUCAACCCCUUCCUGCUGGGAAAUGGCAACAAGCAGAGUUCUAGUCUUAGAUGAAGACAGCUGUGUUGCUUCAUCAGCAUUUGCCCCUGAAUGACCAUAUGGAACACAGUCACCUAACUACCCUAGGCCAUUCACUUACCUUAAGACUGAUGAGAGAAAAAUAAAAAUAAACAUCUCUUUUCUAAGUGACUAUAAUUUUAUAACAGCAACGCAUCCUUUACUAUACCCAAUAGAGCAUCCCAUAUGUAACAUAUUAUUUCCUACUUUUCUGGUUCACUCAUCAAGUAUAUACAUUAGUCACCCUGGGAAAAGACACUAUAUUGGAAAGUGAAUUUGCAAAAGUUGCUUAACCUCCUUGAGCCUCAGGUACUUAUCUGCUAGAGAAAGAAAAGACAUAUCUAUAUCUCACAGUGGUUUUUUGUUUUGUUUUGUUUUCCUUUUCUCCCAUCAGUAGACUGUAAAGUACUUGAUUAUAAGGGCCACAAACUUUAAUGCUUUUUUCCCCUCAAUCUCCCAAGCAGCAGUUAUUGUAAAGGUCUUGACUGCCAAGUGCAUAAAAUUGUUAGUUAUCUUGAGAAAGACAGUCCACUCAAAUUUUGAAGGCCAGACAUUUAGAAAAUCAGAUUUUUUAACUUUUAAGCCUCAAAUAAAGUUAACUAGCUCUUGACAUUUUAAUAUGCAGAUGUUAAUCUGCCAAAUCUUGGGUGUAUAAAAGCUUAGUUUCUGUCUAUAAGAUAGAUCGGGAAGGAAUUUUUGAAAAGGACUAAAUAGUGAACUUAUUUUCUGACCCACAGAAGGCACACAUCCUGUAUGAUAUGUAGUCAAUAACUAUGAUUUAUUAAAGCAGACACAAUAUGAUAUGAUAUAUAUAAAGCACCCAAAAGUUGCACAUAGUUCACUUCCAGUGAUGGUGACUGAAGCACGGUAGUGUGUGCAUAUGUAUGUGUGUGUUGAUGGGAAUCAAGGGCAAGGGGGAAGGAAGGUUCACCUCUUAGAGGGAUUAGUUGGCCUCAAGUGCAUAGCUACUACUGUUUUCAAAACAGAAAAUAAGAAACAGCCCUCUCUAUCAUAAAAAGUCACUUUUGCCUGUAUAGAAAUGUGUGUCCAGCACAUUGUUAUUUCUUCUUAUCAAAGACCUGUGAAUAAGCAACUGUUGUUAAAGAUAUAUAACCAAAAGUUAUUAUUAACCAUUAUGCAUCACUAACAUAGCAUUCGACAAACGUUCAUAUGGUGUGUGCUAACCACAGGGCAAAAGCAAAAAAGAAAAAAAAAAGGACAAUUCUAAUUAGAUCUAAAAAUGUAUCCCAAAUGUGCUUCUAAUCACUCAUCCUCUCCGCUCUGUUGCCUUUUGAAGUGCCUCAGAGGCAUUUAACACUUCACAAGAGGGGCCAUAGGUGACAUAUUUCCUCAUUCUUUCCAAUUCCAGACAGCAGCUCACACACAUCACAACAUAAAGGUCACAAACAUAGACAGAUGCCUGUUCAGAAUACAAAUGUUGCUGGGCUUGUUUUUCUCUGAGGAGCGCUCCAUCCCAGUGAGUUGUAAGAGGAAUGCACUUGGCAGUCUGUCAUGUAACAUGGCUGGUUGUGCCCUAUUGUCUACUCUGAGACUUGUAUUCACAGAAGGUGGGCUUCCCAGGGCCAAGGGCUGUUUAAUAAUGUGACAAUUAUUAACUCAGCAGCAAAAGUAACCUAAGAGAUCACUGGCCCAAACUCCCACCCUUGCCCAACAUCUUUUACUAAUGCCAUCUGGCUUUUGCUGAGUGACCAGUUCUGAGAGGGCUCUUCUUGAUUGCAGCUGGAAGGCAAGAUGAAGCUGCUAAGUUACUUGGGACUCUUGAACUGUCUGCAUGAUCCAGCACAGAUGUAGUCAAUCUGCUAUUUGAUAUGAGUUUGCCUCCUCCCACUUAGUGUUUGGGCAAUUGAAAGAAGGAAGGGAAAUUCCAGGACAGCCAACCAGUCUAGGGGAGGGGAGGUAGAACUGGGGAAAUACAAAAGUAUCAAUGAAAAAAAGGAGAAAGAACACAUAGGAAACAGAUGCCUAAGGAAUGAGAGGCAGAUCAACCUGAGGAAGCUGAUUUAAAAGAAGAAAAAAAGAAAGGGAGGCAAGCAAGGUAUUUGUAGAGAAACUCUGAAGGUGGCACUGUCAACUGAUGGUUUAUUUUUACUAAAAGAGUGCUGAGAACUCUGUCUGGAGUGAAUGUGGUUACAACUAUGAGGUACUGAGUUUAUUACUGUUGCCAAAUUGAGAGCAACUUAGCAAUGACUGUCAAAACUCUAAACACAUAUUCUAAGGGAACAACAAUCCCAUUGUUAAGGACAUAUUCUACAGACACACAAACUCAACAGCAAUGAUGUUCACUGAUUUGUUCAUAGUUGCAAAAAACUGUAACAACCCAAAUGUACAUUAAAAGGGGAAUGGUUAAAUAAAUCAUGGAAUGUGAAAAUAUUAAAAAGAACAAAGUAACUAUAUAUGCUGAUGUGGAAAGCUGCUCACACUGUUUUAGGAAUGAAGAAGGUUGUGAAAUAUUUACACUAAAAUUCUAUUUGUGAAAAAAAGAGUCAAUAUAUUUGUUUGCAAAUGCACUGAAACUAUCAGGAAAGAUAAAAAAGGGAGCUUUAUCUUUGGGGUUAUUUCUGUUGGGGGUGAUGAAGAGUUUGAUGAGAGAUUUUUAUUUUUAUUUACUUUCCAUUUUAUAUCUUUCUAUAUUGUUUGCACAUACACUGUUUAUAUGAACUUUGCACAAAAAAUACUGUGCAGUUGUGAAGAAAAGGUAACAUUAUGUACAAACAUAAGUUUCCAAAACCUAGUAUUAAGUACAAAAAGCUAGUUUUGAAAUAUUAUGCAUAAUUUGACCUCACUUAUGUUUUUAAAAAUUAUGUACAGGAGUAUUCAUAAAAAGAAAAAGAUGGAAGGACACUCAAAACUUGUUUAACAAUGUUACCUAUUCAGAGAAGAGAACAUUUCCAUGUAACCCGAGUUUUAAUUUCUAAAGAGUAAAACAAAAUAUUAAAUUGUCUCUCCUACCUCUAGAGAAGGAUGUUGUUGUAAAGGACUAGAAGUGACUCAAUGACAGUCUAGUUAUUUCCACACUGUGGCUCUCAGAGUAAGAUUAUAAAUAAAUGGUCCCAGGCUUUUUAAAGUCUAAAAACCAUUAGUCUAAUCACAAACUCAUCAUUAUAGGUGACAAAUACAAAAACCAACUUUGCCUAAGGUUACAUUGUGGCAGAAUAGAACUAGAAACUAGGUGUUUUGACUGCUAAUUCUUUUUGUUUCUAAUCAUACCAUGAACCAUAUCUAAGGAAAGCCAAUAUUGGCUGGGCUCAGUGCCUCAUGCCUGCAAUCCCAGCACUUUGGGAGACCAAGCUGGGAGGAUUGCUUGAGGCCAGGAGUUCAAGACCAGCCUGGACAACAUAACAAGACCCUGUCUCUACAAAAAUAAAAAACUAGCCAUGAGUGGGGGCAUGUGCCUGUAGUCUCAGCUACCUGGGAGGACGAGGCGGGAGGAUCGCUUGAGCCCAGGAUAUCAGGGCUGCAGUGAGCCAAGAUUGCGCUACUGCAUUCUGGCCUGGGUGACAAAGUGAGGCCACCUCUCAAAAAAAAAAAAAAAAAAAAUUAAAAUUUAAAAAAAAGGAAAGCCAAUAUUUAUUGUUCAUUGAUAAUCUAACUACUAGUCUAUUAUGUACUAGGGACAUGUACUUAGUAGAUGAUAAAGGGUAAAAGACAGCAAGACACAGACUCUACCUUGGAGAAAAACUGCAAACACACCAGAGAGACCCUCAGUGCUGGAGAAGAAUCUGGACAGAUCCCUCCUUAUCUAUAGCAAAAUUGGGGCUUGCUCUUAGGAACCCCUACUCAAAGACUCAGACUCCACAAUACAUCCUACAUAAAGUCAAGGGAAGAGGGAGACUCCCCCUCUGCAGUCAUAGCUUAGAAGAUAAAAUAAAAACAAGUUUUUACAA